CAGUAGCCGCGGGAAUACAGAGGGUGCGAGCGUUAAUCGGAUUUACUGGGCGUAAAGCGUGCGUAGGCGGCUUUUUAAGUCGGAUGUGAAAUCCCUGAGCUUAACUUAGGAAUUGCAUUCGAUACUGGGAAGCUAGAGUAUGGGAGAGGAUGGUAGAAUUCCAGGUGUAGCGGUGAAAUGCGUAGAGAUCUGGAGGAAUACCGAUGGCGAAGGCAGCCAUCUGGCCUAAUACUGACGCUGAGGUACGAAAGCAUGGGGAGCAAACAGGAUUAGAUCCCCAGUAGUCCCUGUCUCUUAUACC
This 301-nucleotide ribosomal RNA is filed under the name uncultured bacterium. RNAcentral's name for it is "partial 16S ribosomal RNA". It matches the Rfam family "Bacterial small subunit ribosomal RNA", at positions 509 to 808 of the family's 1533-position model. The record is from RNAcentral.